UGGAGCAUGUGGUUUAAUUCGAAGCAACGCGAAGAACCUUACCUGGCCUUGACAUGCUGAGAACUUUCCAGAGAUGGAUUGGUGCCUUCGGGAACUCAGACACAGGUGCUGCAUGGCUGUCGUCAGCUCGUGUCGUGAGAUGUUGGGUUAAGUCCCGUAACGAGCGCAACCCUUGUCCUUAGUUACCAGCACGUAAUGGUGGGCACUCUAAGGAGACUGCCACCGUAAGGUGAGAGGAAGGUGGGGAUGACGUCAAAUCAGCACGGCCCUUAUGUCCAGGGCUACACACGUGUUACAAUGGUCGGUACAGAGGGCAGCUACCUGGUGACAGGAUGCUAAUCUCGAAAACCGGUCUCAGUUCGGAUCGAAGUCUGCAACUCGACUUCGUGAAGCUGGAUUCGCUAGUAAUCGCGCAUCAGCUAUGGCGCGGUGAAUACGUUCCCGGGCCUU
Molecule: ribosomal RNA, 450 nt
Filed under: uncultured Desulfobulbus sp.
Lineage: Bacteria; Pseudomonadati; Thermodesulfobacteriota; Desulfobulbia; Desulfobulbales; Desulfobulbaceae
Description: bacterial SSU rRNA
Rfam family: Bacterial small subunit ribosomal RNA
Source: RNAcentral